GAGACAGGUAGAGAGAGAGGGAUAGAUGGAGGGAGAGGUAGAGACAGGUAGAGAGAGAGGGAUAGAUGGAGGGAGGGAGAGGUAGAGACAGGUAGAGACAGGUAGAGAGAGAGGGAUAGAUGGAGGGAGAGGUAGAGACAGGUAGAGAGAGGGGGAUAGAUGGAGGGAGAGGUAGAGACAGGUAGAGAGAGAGGGAUAGAUGGAGGGAGAGAGAGGUAGAGAGAGAGGGAUAGAUGGAGGGAGAGGUAGAGACAGGUAGAGACAGGUAGAGAGAGAGAGGAUAGAUGGAGGGAGAGAUAGAGACAGGUAGAGAGAGAGGGAUAGAUGGAGGGAGAGGUAGAGACCGGUAGAGACAGGUAGAGAGAGAGGGAUAGAUGGAGGGAGAGGUAGAGACAGGUAGAGAGAGAGGGAUAGAUGGAGGGAGAGAG
Molecule: long non-coding RNA, 428 nt
Organism: Oncorhynchus tshawytscha (Chinook salmon)
Lineage: Eukaryota; Metazoa; Chordata; Actinopteri; Salmoniformes; Salmonidae
Source: Ensembl